AGCUCCCCGGCGCAAGGGAAAUGGCCUCCGCUUACCGACAUCGCGCUGAGGAAUAAUUUCGAUAAGUGUCGUUCUCAGCCGUAAUACGUUUUCAGCGGUCAUCCUGGUCCACAAAAUACCCACUUGGAAUCCUACUUACCGCGUAUGCUACUCAAACUGAGCCUAUGCUGUCAUAAUAAGCGGCCGACGAACAAUGAACCGUGGUGGAUUGGUCAGCGCUCAAAAA
RNAcentral lists this unclassified non-coding RNA (226 nucleotides) under fungal sp. RNAcentral describes it as "partial internal transcribed spacer region". Lineage: Eukaryota; Fungi. The record is from RNAcentral.